Molecule: non-coding RNA, 196 nt
Organism: Cucurbita pepo subsp. pepo (vegetable marrow)
Lineage: Eukaryota; Viridiplantae; Streptophyta; Magnoliopsida; Cucurbitales; Cucurbitaceae
Source: RefSeq, a predicted model, not a curated record
UUGAGAGAGAAAAUUGAAUAGCCGGAGUUUUUCAUCAGGGAGUCGCCGACGGAAUCCAUCUCCUACCAAGACCUGCACUCUGGAGUUCUUCUUGGAGUGAAGUAAGAACUCGUGUUGAGGUUUCCUCCUCUUUCGUCAAGAUCAGAGAGAAAACCCGCAAGGGAAGAUCCGCCGCUGAUUUUGGUGAGGAAAUCGG